This 274-nucleotide ribosomal RNA is filed under the name uncultured bacterium. RNAcentral describes it as "partial 16S ribosomal RNA". It matches the Rfam family "Bacterial small subunit ribosomal RNA", at positions 523 to 796 of the family's 1533-position model. The record is from RNAcentral.
ACACGGAGGGCGCAAGCGUUGCUCGGAAUCACUGGGCGUAAAGCGGGUGUAGGCGGCCUAGCAAGUCAGAUGUGAAAGCCCACGGCUCAACCGUGGAAGUGCAUCUGAAACUGCUAGACUUGAGUGCCGGAGAGGGAAGUGGAAUUCCUGGUGUGGGGGUGAAAUCCGUAGAUAUCAGGAGGAACACCGGUGGCGAAGGCGACUUCCUGGACGGCCACUGACGCUGAGACCCGAAAGCGUGGGGAGCAAACAGGAGUAGAAACCCUAGUAGUCC